Molecule: ribosomal RNA, 377 nt
Filed under: uncultured eukaryote
Lineage: Eukaryota
Description: partial 18S ribosomal RNA
Rfam family: Eukaryotic small subunit ribosomal RNA
Source: RNAcentral
CAAUAGCGUAUAUUAAAGUUGUUGCAGUUAAAAAGCUCGUAGUUGGAUUUCGGGGCAGCCUGGCUGGUCCGCCGCAAGGCGAGUACUGGUCAGCCGCCCUUCCUCUCGAAAGCCCCGACUGCUCUUUAUUGCAGUGGUCGGGUAGUUCGGGACGUUUACUUUGAAAAAAUUAGAGUGUUCAAGGCAGGCCUACGCCUGAAUACAUUAGCAUGGAAUAAUGGAAGAGGACCUCGGUCCUAUUUUGUUGGUUUCCAGGACCGAAGUAAUGAUUAAGAGGGACAGUUGGGGGCAUUCGUAUUUAAUUGUCAGAGGUGAAAUUCUCGGAUUUAUGAAAGACGAACAGCUGCGAAAGCAUUUGCCAAGGAUGUUUUCAUUAA